GUGGGGCGCACGUGGAUGCAUUUCUGGGAGGAAACCAAGUACCAUCCGCUCUCGCUCGCUCCCAUCCAGUGUUUUCUUCCCCCACUGCCAGAUGCCCACUGCCCACCACUGAUCUACUGAGCCAGGGUGUCCUGAGUGAAUAGCACCCUUAAUGGCAGGCACAGCCAUCAAGGGGGCCUGCAGUCAUAAGAUCAUAAAAAUCACAGCAGCAGCAACAACAGCAGCCAUCUUUCAUGGAGCAUCUCCAAGUGUGUGCCACACCCUUUGCAAACACUGCCAAACAACUUGCAGAUGAGAGGAUUCAAGCUAAAUGACAGAGACUGGGUCAGGAAGCUGAGGUCUGAACAUCUCUGGCAGCCCUCUUUCCUCUAAGCCCCUGCAUCCCCUGUCCAUUCUCUGUCCUAGGAGCUGACAUGAGUGUGUCUGGGUUCCUGAUCCAAGGAGUCACUUUAUACACAGUAGACAAAACCCAAAUUGCAAGUGUGAGAUGCAUACAGAAACCAAGGUGAGCCCUAGAGAAAAGCAACCGAGAUCCAAUCAGAGGGGUAAGGGGAGAAGGAGCAGAGCAAUGGGCCUGAAAAGAGGAGCAGUAAGAGCAGGCAUCCCCAGGUCCAAGA
RNAcentral lists this long non-coding RNA (617 nucleotides) under Homo sapiens (human). RNAcentral describes it as "HSALNT0305200". Lineage: Eukaryota; Metazoa; Chordata; Mammalia; Primates; Hominidae. The record is from RNAcentral.